AAUAGAUACCCGGGUAGUCCACGCCCUAAACGAUGUCUACUAGUUGUCGGGUCUUAAUUGACUUGGUAACGCAGCUAACGCGUGAAGUAGACCGCCUGGGGAGUACGGUCGCAAGAUUAAAACUCAAAGGAAUUGACGGGGACCCGCACAAGCGGUGGAUGAUGUGGAUUAAUUCGAUGCAACGCGAAAAACCUUACCUACCCUUGACAUGGCAGGAACCUCGGAGAGAUCUGAGGGUGCUCGAAAGAGAACCUGCACACAGGUGCUGCAUGGCUGUCGUCAGCUCGUGUCGUGAGAUGUUGGGUUAAGUCCCGCAACGAGCGCAACCCUUGUCAUUAGUUGCUACGAAAGGGCACUCUAAUGAGACUGCCGGUGACAAACCGGAGGAAGGUGGGGAUGACGUCAAGUCCUCAUGGCCCUUAUGGGUAGGGCUUUCACACGUCAUACAAUGGUACAUACAGAGGGCCGCCAACCCGGCGAGGGGGAGCCUAAUCCCAGAAAGUGUAUCGUAGUCCGGAUCGUAGUCUGCAACUCGACUACG
This 541-nucleotide ribosomal RNA is filed under the name uncultured bacterium. RNAcentral describes it as "bacterial SSU rRNA". It matches the Rfam family "Bacterial small subunit ribosomal RNA", at positions 777 to 1320 of the family's 1533-position model. The record is from RNAcentral.